AGAACCCUUUCUUAAAGCUCGCAAAGCCUCACACACUCCUUUCACUCUUUGUUACGCAGCUUCAAAUGACCAGACUGCCCUUCCUUCCUCCCUUUUAUUACUUGCAGAAUCGUUGCUUUCCUUGCAUUCGUUGCUGGAAUCGGUGAAACCCAAGAGAAUUUUGAGCAUUGAAAGGAAUUCGAAUCGGGAAUGUGGGCCUUUGAUGAGCAAAAGCUUGUGGGGGGUAUCGUUACUAGUUUGGUUUGAGUUUUCCUCUCCUCUUUUCCCUAUUAAGGCGCUCUCCCUCCUUGAAGUGAAGUUUAUGAGGAAUUCAAUUUCUGUUCUGG
Molecule: unclassified non-coding RNA, 326 nt
Filed under: Hevea brasiliensis (rubber tree)
Lineage: Eukaryota; Viridiplantae; Streptophyta; Magnoliopsida; Malpighiales; Euphorbiaceae
Source: RNAcentral